ACGACGCACCAGGGGUGCCUGUAUCUGCUCGAGCACUAGCUCUUUGGUUGGGAUUUGAGUAGGUCAGGCUGAGAUGGUCCCUUUGAACCUUAAUAGGUUAAUGCCUGCGUAGGGAGUGUGCAUUUUUUUUCCU
RNAcentral lists this non-coding RNA (133 nucleotides) under Rosa chinensis. Its description in RNAcentral is "sRNA RchiOBHm_Chr5g0068701". It matches the Rfam family "TPP riboswitch aptamer (THI element)". Rfam says of the family: Vitamin B(1) in its active form thiamin pyrophosphate (TPP) is an essential coenzyme that is synthesised by coupling of pyrimidine and thiazole moieties in bacteria. The previously detected thiamin-regulatory element, thi box was extended, resulting in a new, highly conserved RNA secondary structure, the THI element, which is widely distributed in eubacteria and also occurs in some archaea. Lineage: Eukaryota; Viridiplantae; Streptophyta; Magnoliopsida; Rosales; Rosaceae. The record is from Rfam by way of RNAcentral.